CCUACGGGAGGCUGCAGUGAGGAAUAUUGGUCAAUGGGCGGAAGCCUGAACCAGCCAAGUCGCGUGAGGGAAUAAGGCCCUACGGGUCGUAAACCUCUUUUGCCGGGGAGCAAGGGCGGGGACGUGUCCCGGCCCGGAGAGUACCCGGAGAAAAAGCAUCGGCUAACUCCGUGCCAGCAGCCGCGGUAAUACGGAGGAUGCGAGCGUUAUCCGGAUUUAUUGGGUUUAAAGGGUGCGUAGGCGGGCUUUUAAGUCAGCGGUAAAAAUUCGGGGCUCAACCCCGUCCGGCCGUUGAAACUGGGGGCCUUGAGUGGGCGAGAAGAAGGCGGAAUGCGUGGUGUAGCGGUGAAAUGCAUAGAUAUAACUUAGAACCCCGAUAGCGAAGGCAGCUUACCAGACUGUUACUGACGCUGAAGCACGAGAGCGUGGGUAGCGAACAGGAUUAGAUACCCCUGUAGUC
This 460-nucleotide ribosomal RNA is filed under the name uncultured bacterium. Its description in RNAcentral is "partial 16S ribosomal RNA". It matches the Rfam family "Bacterial small subunit ribosomal RNA", at positions 338 to 795 of the family's 1533-position model. The record is from RNAcentral.